Molecule: ribosomal RNA, 421 nt
Filed under: bacterium
Lineage: Bacteria
Description: partial 16S ribosomal RNA
Rfam family: Bacterial small subunit ribosomal RNA
Source: RNAcentral
UGGGGGAUAUUGCACAAUGGGCGAAAGCCUGAUGCAGCGACGCCGCGUGGGGGAUGAAGGCUUUCGGGUUGUAAACCUCUUUCGCUAUCGAACAAGGCCCGCUUAGGGUGGGUUGAGGGUAGGUGGAGAAGAAGCGCCGGCUAACUACGUGCCAGCAGCCGCGGUAAUACGUAGGGCGCGAGCGUUGUCCGGAAUUAUUUGGGCGUAAAGGGCUUGUAGGCGGCUUGUUGCGCCUGCUGUGAAAACGCGGGGCUUAACUUCGCGCGUGCAGUGGGUACGGGCAGGCUUGAGUGUGGUAGGGGUGACUGGAAUUCCAGGUGUAGCGGUGGAAUGCGCAGAUAUCUGGAGGAACACCGAUGGCGAAGGCAGGUCACUGGGCCAUUACUGACGCUGAGGAGCGAAAGCAUGGGUAGCGAACAGG